Long non-coding RNA from Dreissena polymorpha, 6371 nucleotides. RefSeq lists it as uncharacterized. NCBI's taxonomy places the organism in Eukaryota, Metazoa, Mollusca, Bivalvia, Myida, Dreissenidae. The record is from RefSeq and is a predicted model, not a curated record. The transcript is spliced from 3 exons.
UUGGAAACAUAUUUCAUGAAAAUGCAUGUGCUUAUAUGUACUAAAUAUGAUAUUGCUUUACUUGUAUUUGCAUGCUGUUAACAUUUCUAUUUUAUUCCAGUGGGCUGUGGUGAGUAUUGCAGAUUUAACUUGUAUGUGUGGUUUUUAGUUAACGAUGCUUAAUGAAAACUGUUAUUGUACACUUAGUAUGGAAUGAUGUGAAUGAUGAUAUGAUGGGUAGAAUUAAUCAGUGCUUGUGUCUAGAAAUGCUGAAUGUUUAUUGAAAAGGCUAAAUGCUAGCCAGUACUAAGAGUUGAGCUACCGUGGGAAUGUGAAACGAACUGAUGGUGUAAUAUGAUGGUGUAUUGACAUACUUUUCUUAUAUGUACUAAAUAUGAUAUUGCUUUACUUGUAUUUGCAUGCUGUUAACAUUUCUAUUUUGUUCCAGUGUGCUGUGGUGAGUACUGUAGAUAUUACUUGAUUUUUAGUGUCUAUGAAUGCUGAUGUAUGAUAGCUAUAGCAUGAGCUCAAUGCUAACCAGUAUUAUGAGUUGAUGUAUUGUGGUGAUGCUAAUCGAACUGAUGAUGUAACAUGAUGGUGAACACUUACUGAAUGCAUAAAAUUUAUUGAAUUGCGUUUGUUGAUAUGCACUAUAAUAUGAUAAAUGUAUUGCUUAACAUGUAUAUUUCAUGAUGUUUAAUUUCAGUGGGCUGUGGUGAGUACUGUAGAUUGUAUUGCCUAUGUAUAGAAUUCAAUAAAAGAUUAUGACUGAAAACUGCUUUUGAUUCUUUUUGAACAGUUUUAGGGACUAUAAGUCUAUAACAAAAAUAUGUCGGUUGGCGUUCAUACAGCAAUGUUUUGAGUAGUACAGAAAUGUUUCUACGUUUGUGGUCGCCAGUUGUCUGUGAUGUGUAAAGUGAAAAAUACACGGAGCUUUGAAUACAACAAACAUUUACUGUUUUAACACAGAUUGUGUGCUAUGCAUUUUUCGAUGUAGAUCUUUUUCAGAUUUGACAUGAAAUGUAGACCUGACAUUUGAACAGAGCUGGGAAACGAAAAGGUAAGUUUGUUAAAUUUCACAAUGAACACUUGUGUUUUGACAAAAGAAGAGAUAAAGUGAGUUUUGUCAUCAUCAUGGUUUCUUUCAGAGUAUAACUCGUGAACAGAUGAAAACCUAUUUUUUGCUAGAUUUUCAUGUACUCUUUUUUUGGAUGAUAAGUAUGUCAGUAACUCAAAAUCAUACGGCUAGUACAGUAUGGAACAUGAAUGCUUUGUUCAGAUUUUCAGAUGUGUGCUGGCAGUUUAAGUCUGGCAGCUGAAGUGAACAGUCGUGUUUUCUGGAGCUCCAACAAUAUGCUAGAAGGUAAGUAACUAUGUUUGUUUUGCAUUGCAUGUUUUUAUAUGUUUCAGACUUUCAAGCAGAGAUGUCAUGCUGACUGGAGUUGAGCACAGGGCAGUGACAAAGUGAAAGGUAAGUACUUUUGACUGAAUGUUUGUUCUAUGCAUGUUUUGUUUCAAUACAUUUCAGGAGUGCUUAUCCAGUGAUGAUAUGACAGUUGGAGUGAACAGUGGAGCCAAGCAGUCUUGUUUUUGGAGCUACUCAACAAGCCUUGAAGGUAAGUUUAGAAUUUCUCAAUGUUAGUGAAUUGAAGUACUGUCACUUGCUUUUGGACAGUCGAACAGAACAGACGUGGUUGCGAGAGCUCUCAUAUCUGUUGUGUUAAACUGUUUUUAUGAUAUGUUAUGUUUGUUUGUUUGUUUGUGAUGUACUAUUUUUCAGAUGCUGAUGGCAGUGAUGGGUUUUCAAGCUGACCUGAACAGAAAAGCACUCAUAUGGUAAGUACAAAAUAGUUGUUAUAUGGGAUGUUUUGUGCAUGCUUUUAUGUUUCAGGUGUACUUGCUGACAGCGACGAAGACGAAUCAAGAAGAGGAACAUUGUUCAGAAAGUGAUUGGGACUUGCAAACAGGGUAAGUGUAACACUUGUGUUUGUUUAAUUUGUAACAUGCGUGCUUUGCUCUGUUUCAGAUUUCACAUGCAGAAAUUAAACAGGAUUUCAACUGCUGAGACACAAUUCAUCAAAAGUAAGGUAAGUUUUAAUUCAUUGAUUUGAGUUGUACAAUGUGUUCUUUACUUUAUUUCAGAUUCGAGUCACUGGUUUACACAUGGAAGAAGAUUUCCACGUCGGUUACUCAACUCUACAGAAGCAAGGUAAGUCGAUCAAAUUUUUGUUUUCAUUUGUACUGCUGUAAUGUGAUAGUAAACUUAUGCUAUUUUUCAUGUGUGUCAUGUACAGAUGGAUAAUUCAAGUUUGAUCUGUGUUGGUUUAUGUUCAAAAACGUUUUACAUGUAUGUGUGUUUGAAGAUGUUUUGUUUCAGUGGAUGUCCAGAUGGCAAGCAGUACAGACGUGUUUCUUGGAGCUGCCAAACAGUGAGUACAAACGUUUUAUAUUUUUCAGUUGUUUACUCAUAGAAGUCUGUGAAAGAUGAUAACAAGGGUUGAAUCUAUCAGUACUUGUGUCUAAAAAUGCUGAUGUGUGACGGUUUACUGAAAAGGGUAAAUGCUAGCCAGUACUAACACUUGAGCAACCGUGGGAUGUCGAACUAACUGAUGAUGUACUAUGAUGGUGAACACUUACUAUGUGUAUCGAAAUGCUUUUGUUGAUAUUUAUUAUAGAUGAUUUGAUAUUGGUUAACAUUUGUUUGCAUGCUGUUAACAUUUCUAUUUCAUUUCAGUGAGCUGUGGUGAGUAUUGUAGUAUACAUUUGUUUCAAUAAAUCAUGAUGAAUGAAAACUGAUUUCGAUUCUUUUUUACAGUUUUAGGGAUUAUCACUCUAUAACAACUCUGUCGGUUGGUGUUCGUGAAUGUGAGCUUAAUGUUUGAGUAGUACAAAAAUGUCUUUACUUUUGUGAUCGCCAGCUGUCUGUGAUGUAAAGUGGAAAAAACACAGCUAUAAAGCAUACAAUUGUUUCGAAAUUUUAUCAAUGAUUGUAUACUAUGCAUGUUUUGAUUUAGUUCGUUUCAGAUAUGACAUGACAUGAAGAGUUGACAGUCGAACAGAGCUGAGCAAUGCAGAAAGGUAAGUGUGUUUCAUUUUAGUAUGAACACUUGUAUUUUGUUUUUAUAUGGUAUGUUUUGUGCAUGCUAUGUUUCAGGUGUACUUGUAGUCAGCGACGAAGACGAUUCAAGAAGAGGAACAUUGCUGAGAAAGUGAAUGGGACAUGCAAACAGGGUAAGUGUUACAAUUGUUGGUUUGAUUUUUACCAUGCAUACUUUGCUUUACUCUGUUUCAGAUUUCACAUGCAGAAAUGGUCUCAUAGCAGUGCCAACAGUGAAUAAGGAUUUCAUCUGCUGUGAAACAACUCAACAGAAAGUAGGUAAGCAUUGAAUGAAUGCACUUGAGCUGUACAAUUUGAUGUGAUGCUUUUCUCUGUUUCAGAUUCAAGUUCCUGGUGUAGACAGAGAAAUGUGUUUGAAGAAGGAAUUCUACUACUGUGAUUCAACUCUACAGAAGCAAGGUAAGUAAAAACAAAAUUUUGGUUUAAUUUAACUCAUGUGUUUUGCACUGCAUGCUAUUUUUCAGGUCUCUCGUGCAGUGAUGGAAAAGAAGAAGAUUUCAAGAAAGAAUCACUGCUGCAACUCAGGCCUAUAACAAGGUAAGUGUUUACUAUAUUGUAUACAAAAUGUUUCUCUGUUUUACUCUGUUUCAGGUUUCAAUUGCAAAGAUGUUGCAGAGAUGUUUUGACAGCUUGAGACAGAAAAGAAAUUCAGCAGCUGUGUCUCGACUCUAGCCACGAGGUAAGUCAAAACAAAUAUACUGGUUUGUAUGUAAUGUUGUUAUGCCCUUCUAUGUUUCAGACUUACAUUGCUGUGACUGUUCCACAGUGGGUCAAAAAAGAGACGAAUACAGGUUUCAAGAAGAAAAUUGGCUGUUGAAAACCUGCACAAAAUAUGAGGUAAGUAAACUAUUCUUUUGGUUUGUUUUGUGCUUUGUUAUGCUUGACUAUUUUUCAGAUUGGAAUGGUGGGUCGUUACAGAGCAGACUUUUGGACAACUGAGAAGUUGAGAAACAGAGAAUGAUUCAAUAUCAGCUAGGUAAGUCUUGAUUAUUCUGCAUUGUAAAAUGUGUUUCUUUUUCAUUUCAGUAUGGCUGUGGUAAGUACACUAACUUUCUAUAAUUUCAUAUUGAACUGUUUUGAUGACUUGUAUUAUGCAUUGCUAAAUGUUUUUUUCAUUUCAGUAUCCUGUGGUAAGUACACUAACUUUCUAUAAUUUCAUAUUGAACUGUUUUGAUGAUUUGUAUACUGCUAUGCAUUGCUAAAUGUUUUUUUCAUUUCAGUAUAGCUGUGGUAAGUACACUAACUUUCUUUAAUUUUCAUAUUGAACUGUUUUGAUGACUUGUAUUCUGCUAUACAAAAUGUGCUUUUUUCAAUUUCAGGUCAGCAAUGGUAAGUUUAUUGUGUUUCUUUAUGUAUAAUUUUGUAUACAUAUUGUUUUUUUCAUCAUAGCAUGUUUUUUAUAUUUAUGCUUUGUGUAAGUAAAAUGUUCAUAAAUCAUUCUUAUCUUUAAACUAAAAAUGUAUUUUGAUAUGCAAAAUGUCUGUAUGAUUUCAGUUGCCAGAGGUGAGUACCAUUACAGUUGAAAAGUUAGUUUUGUUUAGUUAAAGUUUUGGUUCACAGUUCUGUUUAUUAUUUGGCAAAAUUUACAUGUAUGCAUUGAGUCUUGAUUUCAGCUCGAUUGUGGACUGAAGAAGAUUGCCAGCAGAGGGAUUGGAUACAAAAUACAAAGUAAGUACUGAGUUUCUUACUAAAAGUUUUGAGUUGUAUUCAUUGUGUGUUAAUAUGCUAUGAUUGCUAUGAACAUGACUUUUGUAUUUCAGCGAAGACAACAUAGGUAAGUAAAAUUGUUAUCUGUUUCAAGUUUACUGUUAUAGUUCAAUAUUGUGUUUAUAAAUUGUAAGUUGUACAAACACAUUCAAAAGUUUCUGAUCAUGCUUUCAAUUUCAUUUCAGCCCUACUACAAGACGAGUGUUUUCUACUACUAGACGUGUCAGGUUUACUUCCAGGCGAGCAGUGACAACAAGGCGCCUUUGUGGAAACAGCAAAACAAACAACUCUACUGCAAGACGAGCAGUAACAGCAAGGCGCCUGAACAUGCAACACAAUAAAAAAAAUGCCAAUAUCCAAACCUUGAUGUGGACACCGAGUAGUCAAUACAUACGUGUGGCGUAUAGCUGCGACAAAACCGUGGGUCCAUCGCACCGAUAACUUGAACAUUGGCCCGUGUAUGGACAUCAGUGCAACUUUGUGAAUCCAUGUAACUUUGUGAAUCCAUGUAACAUUGCGAAUGUGUGUCGAUCGAAAAAUGUGUACAUUCUGCACUGAAACGAACUCGGUGUUGCAAGUGGCAAGUGUUGACAGUGUGUAUGUUUAUGUUUAUGUUUUUACAUGAAAAAUAAAGGAGAUUGUUGUUUUAUUGUGCUGGCCAGCAAUAUUGAUGUAUUGAUGUAUGUGUUUGUGUUUAAACUAUGCAAUACCAAAAUCAAACAAAAAAUAAACAUUAACAGUCAUUAACUGUGUUUGGGCGGCCGAGGGGUUUAAGACUCCACAAGUGUGAAGCGCACUGAUAGCACUUGGGGGUAAACACCUCGGUAUUUCGGUGCUAAAAUGUUUUCACGGUGCUUAUUUUGACGCACUGUUAGAACUACCAACCAGUAAAUGAUUGCUUGAUUUAUAAAACAAAUAUUCAGUCUCUACUUUGGCACAAGAGACUCUAAGUAUCAAAUACCAACAAUUUAGACGCAGACAAUCACAUGGUGGUACACCAGUCCGAAUAUACUCAUUGCUCUAGCCAGGAUUGCAAAUUACUUGUGUUGACUAGCAAGGCUCCCUAGUAACGGAGCAGUGUUACUGGCGUUUUUUGGGUCGAUAGUGCUUAGGUGAGGUUUUGCUCGAAUCGGGAGCGGGUCACUCGCUUGGGCGAGUUAGUUUUCGCUCGUAGUUUCCAAUCUGGCUAGAUCAAUGUAAGGUUGUUUUGACUGCUAUUUGGCAAGCAGAAAGACAACAGCGGUUAAUUGACUGAGUAUGGGCGACCGAGGUAUGUAGGUGUCAAUAGACCGACUCCACAAGUUGCGAAGCGAACCGAUAGCACUUGAGGGGAAACGCCUCGGUUUUCGGUUCUAACAUGUGUUAUCCAUGCUGUCGUUAUACUCUGGCAAGGCUCCUCAAUCUAUCGCGAGGGACACUCAUUAUUGCCCGCAAGCUUUAGAACCUGACGUGGGUCGAUGCGUAUGCGAGUCCGAGGACGCGAUGGCAUUUGAUAAGGCUACCAACCGGUUGAUAACACGCAUUGUUCAAAUUGUUAGGUUUAAGUCUGCUAGGGCUGGGGUGGGAA